UACGGAGGGGGCAAGCGUUGUUCGGAUUUACUGGGCGUAAAGGGCGCGUAGGCGGCUUUGUAAGUUACUUGUGAAAUCUCCGGGCUUAACUCGGAACUGCCAAGUAAUACUGCAGAGCUUGAGUGCAGAAGAGGCGACUGGAAUUCUUGGUGUAGCGGUGAAAUGCGUAGAUAUCAAGAGGAACACCUGAGGCGAAGGCGGGUUGCUGGGCUGGCACUGACGCUGAGGCGCGAAAGCUAGGGGAGCAAACAGG
RNAcentral lists this ribosomal RNA (253 nucleotides) under uncultured bacterium. Its description in RNAcentral is "partial 16S ribosomal RNA". It matches the Rfam family "Bacterial small subunit ribosomal RNA", at positions 524 to 776 of the family's 1533-position model. The record is from RNAcentral.